GAGGGGUCAGGUGUCAUACUGUGUGACAAUUGCCUAUGCCGCAUGGCGCAUGACCUUUGUU
RNAcentral lists this microRNA precursor (61 nucleotides) under Ornithorhynchus anatinus (platypus). Its description in RNAcentral is "Oan-Mir-1421-P53_pre stem-loop". Lineage: Eukaryota; Metazoa; Chordata; Mammalia; Monotremata; Ornithorhynchidae. The record is from RNAcentral.